This 433-nucleotide ribosomal RNA is filed under the name uncultured bacterium. Its description in RNAcentral is "partial 16S ribosomal RNA". It matches the Rfam family "Bacterial small subunit ribosomal RNA", at positions 29 to 507 of the family's 1533-position model. The record is from RNAcentral.
AACGAACGCUGGCGGCAUGCCUAACACAUGCAAGUCGAACGAGACCUUCGGGUCUAGUGGCGCACGGGUGCGUAACGCGUGGGAACCUGCCCUUAGGUUCGGAAUAACUCCCCGAAAGGGGUGCUAAUACCGGAUAAUGUCUUCGGACCAAAGAUUUAUCGCCUUUGGAUGGGCCCGCGUUGGAUUAGCUAGUUGGUAGGGUAAAAGCCUACCAAGGCGACGAUCCAUAGCUGGUCUGAGAGGAUGAUCAGCCACACUGGGACUGAGACACGGCCCAGACUCCUACGGGAGGCAGCAGUGGGGAAUAUUGGACAAUGGGCGAAAGCCUGAUCCAGCAAUGCCGCGUGAGUGAUGAAGGCCUUAGGGUUGUAAAGCUCUUUUAACCGGGAUGAUAAUGACAGCACCGGGAGAAUAAGCUCCGGCUAACUCCGUG